AUUUUAGAAUCAUCGAAAACCGUUCGAGGAGAUAAAAUCAUUUGUGAUGAAGGGAGAAUGUGAGGAGGCAGUAAACGAGUUUAAGAGAAGGAUUAGCCAGUGGGGAAAAGGAAGAAAGCCUGAAAAAGGGCCUUCAGGUACAGAAGAAUCUACAGAGUAAUUACAAAUAUAUGUAAUCAUACAUGUUUUCCAAUCAAAUAUGAAACUGUUGUAA
Centruroides sculpturatus (bark scorpion) is the source of this 214-nucleotide long non-coding RNA. RefSeq lists it as uncharacterized. NCBI's taxonomy places the organism in Eukaryota, Metazoa, Arthropoda, Arachnida, Scorpiones, Buthidae. The record is from RefSeq and is a predicted model, not a curated record. The transcript is spliced from 4 exons.